AGCAACCCGUGGGCGCAAGAAACCCUAGCUCUUUCUCCCUGCCCUCAUAUGCCGCCGCCACCCCCGCGAGGAGAGAACUUCGACAGCAGGCAUCCCCGUUAGAUUCCCCUCGCGAUCUAGACCACCUCCUCUCGUCCGGCUCCCUUUCGCUGCGCGCUCACCGGAUCUGGUCGUAGAAGACAAUUUCGGGCAUCCCCAGGCUAGGCCGGCCGUCCAACGGCCUCGAGCCUGUCUUCUCCCGACGACAUCAGUCGAGUCAGUGCGGUUACUGAUGGCGUCCGCCACAGGUUUCCUCGUCGUCUCGGCCACCGCGGGCUCCCGCGUCCUGGGGCUCCCCACGGGCUCCCUACGCUGGGGGAGGCGCACCGAUGCUCGGUGCCACCGGAUAUGGUUGAAGAAGAUGACCCCUGGCUUCCCAGGAACCGACGAUGUUGAUCUGCGGUGGGAACCUGAAGAGGGCGACCUCCUCGAGUUGCUGUGAUUUGAACCAACGAGCGGAGACCAGCACCUGCCUUAUGCCUCAGGGGCCUCCUCUACCAGAUCCCCUUUGGCUGGGUCUUCCUCACCGACGCCAGCGUGAGGACUGGUCGGACUUCUGCGCAGACGACCAGAUCAGGCACAAUGCCGCACCAAGCUCAGUUUCAGGUUUCAGCGUGGGAUGGUAGUGGCACAGGCUUCUACCGCUUGGAGAAGGAUAUUUAUUUGAUAAGUUUCCUGAUGUUCUGAUAUUUCCUCAAUCUAGAAUCUUAAUGCAGAUUUGAUGUCAGUUUUAAGAUUUCCCUGCUGUUAGUUGUAAUGCCUUCUGAUAUUAUCCUCUUAACUUCUGCAAGCCAUUUAGCUUGGUAUCUGCUUCUAUAGUUUAGUAUUUAUUUCUAUUUAAGAUGUAAUGUUCUUAGAUGUUCUUCGUGCAUGGUGAAUGAUAUGGCGUCUAUGAUUUUUUAUGGAAUAAGAAAGAUGUUUUCUAUUCAACUGUUAUCUAUUCAUAUGUAUCAUUGGAAUUGAUUAUACUAUUGUACUGUGAUUUUUUUUGCAACCUUUUUGGACAAUAAAUUUGCCACAUUGAAGUUAUAUUUGCAACAUCAGUUAUGUCAUUAUUGUGGUAAUUAUUGUUUCAAAACUAUGUGCUCAAUGCUCGGUAUCUUUUCUUGUUCCUGCAGAAUUCAAAUGGAAUGAUGUUAAUGUGGCCAAGCACCGGAAGAAUUCCUUUGUCAUAUCAUUUAGGCACCUGUUGGCUGAUGGUAGAUGGCAAAAAAGGAUGGAUGGACGAGCCUAUGACACUAAGCUUGUUCUUGGACUUGUGGUUAUAGGUAGCCAGCUGCUGCAAAGUGAUGCCGAACGGAACAGUGCUCACAUGGAGAAGUCAGCAUGUUGCCAUGGCUUUGGACGGGAGAGGUUUGGAUGAUGCAGCAGCAAAAAGGGUACCUAGAGGUUGGUAGCUGAGUCUGGACGGCCGGAAAGACAUUCUUUGGUUCUUGCUUCUACCCAUGAUGGAUGUUGUCUGCUGUAGGGAUAUAGUCAUGCAGUGGUGUACAUUUUGGUCUAGACGAUUCAGUUGCAGCCUCGUUACACUUGUACAUGUGAACCUUGUAUUUAAUUAUGGAUCUUUUCAAAAGAAUUUCAUGUAUUUGUUGGUUCCGGUUAAACUAUCUAUUGUUUAA
Long non-coding RNA from Lolium perenne, 1658 nucleotides. RefSeq lists it as uncharacterized. Lineage: Eukaryota; Viridiplantae; Streptophyta; Magnoliopsida; Poales; Poaceae. The record is from RefSeq and is a predicted model, not a curated record.